GAUGAACGCUAGCUACAGGCUUAACACAUGCAAGUCGAGGGGCAGCAUGGUCUUAGCUUGCUAAGGCCGAUGGCGACCGGCGCACGGGUGAGUAACGCGUAUCCAACCUGCCUUACACUCUUGGACAGCCUUCUGAAAGGGAGAUUAAUACAAGAUGUUAUCAUGAGUAAGCAUUUUCGCAUGAUUAAAGGUUUACCGGUGUAAGAUGGGGAUGCGUUCCAUUAGAUAGUAGGCGGGGUAACGGCCCACCUAGUCUUCGAUGGAUAGGGGUUCUGAGAGGAAGGUCCCCCACAUUGGAACUGAGACACGGUCCAAACUCCUACGGGAGGCAGCAGUGAGGAAUAUUGGUCAAUGGACGAGAGUCUGAACCAGCCAAGUAGCGUGAAGGAUGAAGGUUCUAUGGAUUGUAAACUUCUUUUAUACGGGAAUAAACGAAUCCACGUGUGGAUUUUUGCAUGUACCGUAUGAAUAAGGAUCGGCUAACGUCCGUGCCAGCAGCCG
This 501-nucleotide ribosomal RNA is filed under the name uncultured bacterium. RNAcentral describes it as "bacterial SSU rRNA". It matches the Rfam family "Bacterial small subunit ribosomal RNA", at positions 28 to 517 of the family's 1533-position model. The record is from RNAcentral.